Molecule: non-coding RNA, 729 nt
Organism: Pimephales promelas (fathead minnow)
Lineage: Eukaryota; Metazoa; Chordata; Actinopteri; Cypriniformes; Leuciscidae
Source: the annotation of a RefSeq genome assembly
UUUUUUUUUUCAAAAUUAGAAACUCACGUGUAUUAGCACAAUGGUUAUACAAUAUUGACAAUGAGCUGCAAAAUGAAAAAGCAAAAGCAUAGAAUUAAAAGAAAUAACCGUACAUAUACAAUAUAAACGGCUAUGCUCAUUUGAUCUUUUCUUAGGUGUCUUGUAAUUCAGAUUCAGUGUCAUGACAGGAGGAGGAGUUUAGCACAGACACUCACACUACUUUUCUGUGUAAAGAUGAGCUACACAACACUGGAGCAGCUGCUGUUCUUGUCAGUUCAGUGAAGGAACAUGUUGAUCAUAUUGAUACUGCUGUCAUCAACUGAAGGCUCCAGAGCCACAGAAGUCAUCACUCCAAAAAGUGAGAGAGUAUUUGCACUUGAGGGUGACAAUGUGACACUCUCUUGUAACUACAGCCUUUCUGCUCGUGGAGUUCACUGGUAUCGCCAAUACACAGGCUCACCACCACAGUUCCUCAUACUGGAAGAUUCAGGCGUAACUACUAAAGCUGAUCCCCCUGUUCCAAGAGUAACCGUCAAGCACACAAAAGGAGAACGGCAUGUGUAUCUGGAGAUCUCCUCUGCUGAAGUGUCAGACUCUGCUCUCUAUUACUGUGCUCUGCAGCCCACAGUCACAGGAAACCUUAUAACACUGUACAAAAAAACAGUUUUCAUCUGCUUAUCAAGCCUUAAAAUGUACAAACCACAGCUGGACUCAACAACACAAAUGUAA